RNAcentral lists this ribosomal RNA (1458 nucleotides) under uncultured rumen bacterium. Its description in RNAcentral is "bacterial SSU rRNA". It matches the Rfam family "Bacterial small subunit ribosomal RNA". The record is from RNAcentral.
AACGAACGCUGGUAGCGUGGAUUAGGCAUGCAAGUCGAACGGGAUCCGGGAGGUAGCAAUAUCGACCGGUGAGAGUGGCGGAAGGGCGAGGAACACGUGGACAACCUGUCCAAGGGACGGGGAAAACUCCGGGAAACUGGAGCUAAUACCCGAUAAGUCGCGUCUUGGCAUCAAGGAGGCGGCAAAGGGGGCGAAAGCUCCCGCCCUGCGAGGGGUCCGCGCACCAUCAGCUUGUUGGCGGGGUAACGGCCCACCAAGGCAUACGGUUAGCUGGUCUGAGAGGAUGGCCAGCCGCACUGGGACUGAGAUACUGCCCAGACUCCUACGGGAGGCUGCAGUCGAGGAUCAUUCGCAAUGGGGGAAACCCUGACGAUGCGACGCUGCGUGGAGGAUGAAGGCCUUCGGGUUGUAAACUCCUGUCAUGAGGGAAAAGGCGAGAGUACCCAAUACGUACUUUAGUUGAUGGUACCUCAAGAGGAAGCGACGGCUAACUCUGUGCCAGCAGCCGCGGUAAUACAGAGGUCGCGAGCGUUGUUCGGAUUUACUGGGCGUAAAGGGCGCGCAGGCGGCGCGGCGUGUCGAGUGUGAAAUCUCCGGGCUCAACCCGGAAAGUGCGCUCGAAACUGCCGUGCUUGAGGCCGGGAGAGGGAAUCGGAAUACAGGGUGUAGCGGUGAAAUGCGUUGAUAUCCUGUAGAACACCGGAGGCGAAGGCGGAUUCCUGGAACGGCACUGACGCUGAGGCGCGAAAGUCGGGGGAGCAAACAGGAUUAGAUACCCUGGUAGUCCCGACCGUAAACGGUGCACACUCGGGGUGGGGGGCUUCACCCCCUCCGUCCCUUAGCGAACGCGUUAAGUGUGCCGCCUGGGGAGUACGGCCGCAAGGUUAAAACUCAAAGAAAUUGACGGGGGCCCGCACAAGCAGAGGAGCAUGUGGCUUAAUUCGAUGCAACGCGAAGAACCUUACCCGGGUUUGACAUCAAGCUGCACGGUCUAUGAAAGUAGACCUCCUUCGAGGGUGCUUGACAGGUGCUGCAUGGCUGUCGUCAGUCCGUGCCGUGAGGUGUUUGGUUAAGUCCAGCAACGAACGCAACCCCUGCGGCCAGUUACCAGCGGGUGAUGCCGGGGACUCUGGCCGGACCGCCUGUUUACACAGGAGGAAGGUGGGGAUGACGUCAAGUCAGUAUGGCCCUUACAUCCGGGGCUGCACACGUGCUACAAUGGCCGGUACAGAGGGAAGCGAAGCCGCGAGGCGGAGCAAAUCCCGCAGAGCCGGCCCCAGUUCGGAUUGGGGUCUGCAACCCGACCCCAUGAAGUCGGAUUUGCUAGUAACGGCGCAUCAGCUACGGCGCCGUAAAUGCGUUCCCGGGCCUUGUACACACCGCCCGUCACAUCAUGAAAGCCGUCUACACCCGAAGCCGGGCGACAGUCCGUCUAAGGUGCGGGUGGUGAUUGGGAUG